CUUAUGCACACCUGCAGUCUUGAAGCCUUCCAUGAAAGAUAACCUUAUGUUGUUAAAGAAGGUGACUUUUUUGUGUGUGAAGUAACUGCCUGGCUAUCAAAGGUAGGUCAGCCAUAUGGAAAACAGAACUUUGAGAAGUACAAUGCAUGCUAUGCUUCCACAGGAGUCCUAUUCAGCAGAUGGAGAAGCAAAGUUUGUCAACACACUGAGAGCCUCGAAUUACCAGCAUUACCAUAGUUGAAUAAUCUUGACACCUCUAUCCCAACUGAUAAACACAUUUCUAUGAAAAGUGUACUGUCCGUCAUGGAUGAGCACAGCUACAUCAAGAUACAAUUUAGUUUGCUGAAAUGGCAUCGGCAGAAACAGGGAAGAUCUCACAGAGACGAUUGGACUCUCCUGGCAGCUCUACAAACUGGAACACAUCUGAGAAAAUGUUCUUAGCAAAAAAAAAA
Molecule: non-coding RNA, 452 nt
Organism: Pogona vitticeps (central bearded dragon)
Lineage: Eukaryota; Metazoa; Chordata; Lepidosauria; Squamata; Agamidae
Source: RefSeq, a predicted model, not a curated record